RNAcentral lists this ribosomal RNA (473 nucleotides) under uncultured bacterium. Its description in RNAcentral is "bacterial SSU rRNA". It matches the Rfam family "Bacterial small subunit ribosomal RNA", at positions 328 to 793 of the family's 1533-position model. The record is from RNAcentral.
CGCUAUCACUCCUACGGGAGGCAGCAGUGGGGAAUAUUGCACAAUGGGCGCAAGCCUGAUGCAGCCAUGCCGCGUGUGUGAAGAAGGCCUUCGGGUUGUAAAGCACUUUCAGUCGUGAGGAAGGUAGUGUAGUUAAUAGCUGCAUUAUUUGACGUUAGCGACAGAAGAAGCACCGGCUAACUCCGUGCCAGCAGCCGCGGUAAUACGGAGGGUGCGAGCGUUAAUCGGAAUUACUGGGCGUAAAGCGCAUGCAGGCGGCCUGUUAAGUCAGAUGUGAAAGCCCGGGGCUUAACCUCGGAAUUGCAUUUGAAACUGGCAGGCUAGAGUCUUGUAGAGGGGGUAGAAUUUCAGGUGUAGCGGUGAAAAUGCGUAGAGAUCUGAAGGAAUACCAGUGGCGAAGGCGGCCCCCUGGACAAAGACUGACGCUCAGAUGCGAAAGCGUGGGGAGCAAACAGGAUUAGAUACCCUGGUAG